RNAcentral lists this long non-coding RNA (5336 nucleotides) under Paramuricea clavata. The record is from RNAcentral. Lineage: Eukaryota; Metazoa; Cnidaria; Anthozoa; Malacalcyonacea; Plexauridae.
AGAUUGCAGCAGAAAACAUAACAGAAUUUCUGAGAAAAGCGAGCGUGGAAAGCGAUAAAUUUCGAGCAGCUGCACCAAUCGCAAAUAUUCCAAACGGCACAUGCUUGACAGAAUACAAGAGGAUUAAAUGCAAAACGUUUGUACCAACAUGCUCAGGAUCCAGUAAUAUUACUAAAGAAAGUUGUGAACAGAAACUGCAGUGGUAGGAAUAUUAAUAAUGAUUAUACUUUAACUCCCGUCUACAUUUGCAAUUUUUGCUGCAGUUUUCCUCUUCUGAUGGAACGAGCGGAUUGGUUACGAAAGUUCUUAUAAUAUGUACCCUCAUCUGGACAUUCAUAAGUCUCACCCACUCGUUCACAAAUAGGGCCUUUAUCUGCAUUCUUAUUCAGAUAUAAUCAUUUGGGCAGGAAACAUGUAGGUACUUAUUAAUCUGUUGAUUGACAAAUGUGUGGGCCAUCAAAAGAGUUUUGCAUGCAGGUAAAAAGUAAAGAUUCCACACAGAAGGAAAAAAUCCAAUUCUAACUUGCGUCACAGUCCUAAUUUAAAUGCUUUGCAUGGCAUCCUGCAUUGCGUAUAAUUUCCAAAGAAGAGCGGUCAACAUUUACAGGAAUGGCGAAACGAACUGCUUCAGACGAGCAAGUUUUCUGUGACAAGUUUUUAUGUAACAAGUUUUAUUUGCUCGUCUGUACGCGCAACUUUGACAAAUUUUUCUAUGACAAGUGCACUUGUUCAAAAGCUAGCAUGCUAGCUUUUGAACAAGUGCGCUUGUCACAGAAAAAAAUUUCAAAGUUGCGCGUACAGACGAGCAAAUAGAACUUGUCAAGCAAAAAAAAAAAUAUAGAAAACUUGCUCGUCUGUAACCGGUUUUAUUCAGAGUGCCAGUUGGAUUAUAAGUCGAUUGUCCUCAACAUGUGUUAUGCUCAGUUGAGCAAACUUAAAACCACAUCUUAGGUCUGUUUCAAACGUCGCGUUCGGCGUUUCUCAUAUGCUGAACGCAUUAGAAACAAUAGAUAAUAAGGCAUUUCCCAAAUUGAAACUACUGGGAGUAACAUUCCAGUCCAAUUGCAAAUUUACAGAACAUGUAAAGAAUAUGUUAUAUAGUGCAAAUAAAAGUUUAUACGUGAUACGAUCGUUACGAAAGGAAGGACUUUGUCAACGGGAGUUGAAUUUGCUUUUCAACUCUCUUGUAAUCUCAAAGAUAUCGAAUGGUCUAUCUGUCUAUGGUUCGUCUACCCCAGAUUUAUAUACAGUGCAGUGCUUCUUAACUAGAUGUUUUAAACGUAAUUAUUCUAGCAAUUGCAAACAUUACGAUAUAUACAAACUAUUAGAGAGAAGUGAUCGUAACAUUUGGAGAAAGAUAAAAAAUAACGAUAAUCAUCCGCUUAAACAUAUGCUACCUAUAGUCAAAGAUUCAUCCGGCGUCUGCGUAACAAAAGCUCACUGUGGCCAAAAUGUAACACAGAACGCUUCAAGAAUAGCUUUUUUAAUAGACUGAUUUUUAAGUAUAAUUUGCAUGUUGAUAAUGAAUAGAAUAGUUUUAGUAUUAUUGAUGUAUUAAGUAGCUUCUGUGUUACAAUUUUUUUUUAAAUAUGUAAAUUUGAUAUGUAUUUUUAUCAAAUGAUUAAUAAAGACCAAUAAUAAUAAUAAUAAUUUCAGCUGAUUAUCUAAAUGUUUUUAAUGCGUUCGGCACUGUGAGAAGCGCGAUGUUUGAAACAGACCUUGUGCUCUGUGCAAACAUCAACAAUUCUCGAGGCUUUAGGAUUGCCUACUGCAGCCCUACAUUUUCCAACUAGUACGCUUCGUAAAAUCAAUGUUAUUGACUCAAACAUGCAGUCGAUUAGAUUUGAUCGACGCGCUUCCGCCGCUAAGAAAGCUGAGCGAGUAAACUGAACAGUAUAAUAAUUAUACAUUUGCAAACAGAAAAGCACAGGAUCGACCGUUCUUUAAUAGUUUGUGUGAUGUUUUAUUUCAAAUCAUCAUCAUGCAGUUUGAUUUUCAUAUGGUACAUUUUAUAUACUUUAUCGGGUUUUUCAGGUAUAUUAUUUUGUCGGCACGUCCCCAGUGAGCGUGAAUUCUACACAUGCAUUCACUGAUGUUAAUUAGAGCAAAACGGCUUCGUCGCAACUACCACUUCUUACCAUAGGCGGAUAACGGAACUGAAAAAAUUAGGGGUCGGACAAUAAAUUGCCCAACAUUGAUGAACAAUUGCCCGAUAAAUACAAGUUCGCCAUAACAUUCCCCAACGUUAGAUAUCCCUUGAUUAAUUUGCCUGAAUGGCAAACAGAAUUGACAGAUUUUUAAACAGAAUCUUGCCAAUUUUUAAGUGGAAUUGCCCGAUUAAGUAGAAUCCGUGCGACUAUGUAGAAAUAUAUUAUUGGGGGGGGGGGGGGNNNNNNNNNNNNNNNNNNNNGAAAAAAUUUUUUUUGGGGGGGGGGGGGGAAGCUGCAUCCCCCAGCCCCUUUUCGUACGCCUAUGCCUCUUACGAACUGUUGCUCGCUCAGAACCCUGCAUAUUUCAUUAACUUUAAGACUUUAUGGGCAAGCAACAUGUACGUACAAAGGUCAAUUUUAAUUUUAUUGUACCAUCGGACGGGAUGUUUAUGUAUUAGAAUGUAACUCACUAUAGCAAAUAUUUGCGCGGCUGAAACGUUAAACGUUUGACAUGUUUAACAAGCUAUAUAGUUGCCUCUCGAAGUUUCUAGUACUCUGAAAUAACAAACCAAUCAACCUUUAGCACUUUCAUUUAUUAAUAUGCUAUCAUUAAUUUUGCUGAUAAAGUGUAAACAAUGUAAUGCCGUACAUCCGUUGGUUUACGAUAUAUUAAUUAGUCCUGCAAUUAAUUAAGAAAAGACAAACCAAUAAUUAUUGUCUUGGUCUGGAUGAUUUAAGGAUUAAUCUACAAUAUUGUUUUUGGACUUAUUUACUAUUAAGCGAGAUAACCCUUACGUCACGUAAUUCAUUACUUAUAACGUCAUGAAAUAGUUGUUUUAAUUUAAAUUAUGCAUGGCGAUCAGGUCGCUUUCUGGUGGCGGAUUCGGAUAAGAUCCCCUAUAUAUAAUUACAUUUCCGCAGACAGGCAGAUAGUGAACGAAAUCAGGUAUAGAGUAUCAGGUCUUCUCAUAUAUUUGGUAUUUGGGCAUUACGGAGGCACAGUAGCCAGAAUAGGGCGCCUUGUGGGUUCGGGGAGUCGUCGCUCCGGACUCCUGUGCCAAAGGGCCAAUCAAGCGGUUUACCCGCCUAUCCGAAAAUGUUGACUGGAUUGGUUGAGAUAAAUCCCGAACUCGAUAUAGUCGUACUCCGCGUUGAUCGGAUAUGAGUCGUACGGUGGCAGCUAGAGGCGCCCUUAUUAAGCCGUAGUAGACUCGAUAUGCUCGAGCUGUGUCUUCGUCGCGUAUAAUUCAGGGUCAUAUCAGGGAAUGUUAAAGCUUGAGGAAGUAUUACAAAAAGUACCACCUGAAAAUCAAAUUACCAUCUGAAACAAAAACAUAUUUAAUUGAUUAUUGGACUAAACCCAUCAGAUUGUUAAAGAUCGACUGCAUCCUGUGGUUUUUCAGGUUUUAAUAUAGCGUAGUAUAUAUACUGUUUUACUGCUUUAGUAGCGCGAUAUGUACCUUUAAGGCAAAUUUCCACCCGGAAAAUAAGCAGCGGAUCGGACUGGAUCGCAACAAAACAAAAUCGGCGCAUGCGUCAUCAGUACAAAAAUUUUUGGUUCCGAUUGAUCCAGCGAAGUUGCUAGCCGGAUAAUAAAAGUUAAUAUUUUCAAUUUGUAUUGGUCCGGUCCCGCGGAUUAAACCUGGCGACCAAUCAAAAUUCCGUAUUAUCUCACAUAAAUUAAAAUAAUUAAAUAAUACCUAUAUAAAAUUUACAAAAUGGAGGAUGUGAGACUGGAACGAGCUCCAAUUUUUCAUUUUCCGAUCCGAUCAUUCCAUUUGUCCUUUUACUGGAAAUCGCUUGUUGGAUCGGACCGGAUCGGAGAAACCUCUGAUCCGGUCCGUCCGCUACUUAUUUUCCGGAGUGGAAAUUAGCUAGCCUUUAAUCGAUUGCCUGCAUGGAUCAACAACGUUGUUUUCAGAAAGGGUACCAGUAAGAAAAUGUAGGGCAUUAUAUCCUCAUAAAAGCCUUAACAAUCGUUGCAUGAUAGUUUCGCAGAGCGUAAGAUGUGGUUUUUGUCGAAUGAACAUAACAUAUACUACCGGGAUAAUAAAUUCAAAGUCUGCUGUUUUGUCCAAUUCUGGAUAAAAUAUACAACUCAUUUUACCAUUCCCGCCUGUAAACUCGACGAUCGAGUCUUCAACGGUGUUGACAACCGCAAAAGACCAAUCAACUAAAAUACCCUCUUUUGGGAAAACCUUGACCACUCUGGAUCAUGUUAGAUGUAUUUUAGCAUUUGGACUUGGGUGGCGCAAUCGUCACAGCAAUUUCCUUUCACCUCUGAGACCUCUGAGAUCGUGGGUUCGAUCCUUGAUCCGGACUUAAGACGUGAGAAGAGUUAGUCAACGCUAUACGGCAAGUCGUGGAUUUUUCCGGGUUCUCCGGUUUCCUUCCACAUGGAAUAGUAUUGACAGAGUGGGAUGGGAGUGGCCCCUAAUUGACCAUUCCACAGUAUCCGUGUUCCGUAAUCAGAUUCCGUAAUCAACCAAUAAGGUAGUUGCCCGUGCACUACAUUAUACCGGAGAGCUUUCCGUAGCGGCGCAAAAAGGCAUGUACGUAUCCGAUACGGAAUGUACAACUUUCAGAAGCUGAGCGAAACAACAUCUCUCCAGCUCCGUUGCAAUAAUAGACAUCCCAAAAUAGCGUUGCAAUGUUCCUUAAACGUACGAAUAGGUGAUUUUCACGUCGUUACCUACGAAAAGCUAUCCGGUAUAGUGUAAAUUACGUACCCUUAGACAGCUUUCCAUUCGAUCAAGUUAAUUGAGCUGCUUCUUUCGGCUUAGCUAUACGAGCUCUAUCAUGCAAAAUUCCGCAAAAAUUAGUUAGUUUUAAGGGGACAUCCGCGUUAGCAAAUACAACAACAACAACAACAACAACAACAACAACAACAACAACAACAACAACAACAACAACAACAACAACAACAACAACAACAAUUGAUUUGUUACCCAGAAAUUGAAAGUUACAUGAAGUAAAAUAGAUAUACAAGACGAUGGGUAUGGGUUCCCCAAAAUAACUAAUAAGCUAAAAUUCAUUGGAAAGCCCAAAUAGUGAAGACCGAAUACGUCGCUUGCUUAAGUUCACUAAUACCUAAUCCACUUAUUUUGCCAUUUUUCAACAGUUUAUCAUCAAAUGUUUUCUUCAACAAGACAAGACUUUGUUCCAAUUUUCCAUCUAAACCUCUAC